Molecule: ribosomal RNA, 253 nt
Filed under: uncultured bacterium
Lineage: Bacteria
Description: partial 16S ribosomal RNA
Rfam family: Bacterial small subunit ribosomal RNA
Source: RNAcentral
GACGGAGGAUGCAAGCGUUAUCCGGAAUUAUUGGGCGUAAAGCGUCCGUAGGCGGUUUCAAAAGUCUGUUGUUAAAGCCCACAGCUCAACUGUGGAUCGGCAAUGGAAACUGUGAGACUAGAGAGUGGUAGGGGUAGAGGGAAUUCCUAGUGUAGCGGUGAAAUGCGUAGAUAUUAGGAAGAACACCAGUGGCGAAGGCGACUACCUGGCCUGUUCUUGACGCUGAGGCGCGAAAGCUAGGGGAGCAAACGGG